RNAcentral lists this ribosomal RNA (520 nucleotides) under uncultured Glomus. RNAcentral's name for it is "SSU rRNA". It matches the Rfam family "Eukaryotic small subunit ribosomal RNA", at positions 569 to 1089 of the family's 1831-position model. The record is from RNAcentral. Lineage: Eukaryota; Fungi; Glomeromycota; Glomeromycetes; Glomerales; Glomeraceae.
AGCAGCCGCGGUAAUUCCAGCCCCAAUAGCGUAUAUUAAAGUUGUUGCAGUUAAAAAGCUCGUAGUUGAAUUUCGGGGUUAGUAGGUCGGUCAUGCCACUGGUAUGUACUGGUCUCACUGAUUCCUCCUUCCUGAUGAACCGUAAUGCCAUUAAUUUGGUGUUGCGGGGAGACUGGACUGUUACUUUGAAAAAAUUAGAGUGUUUAAAGCAGGCUAACGCUUGAAUACAUUAGCAUGAAAUAAUGAAAUAGGACGUUCGAUCCUAUUUUGUUGGUUUCUAGGAUUGACGUAAUGAUUAAUAGGGAUAGUUGGGGGCAUUAGUAUUCAAUUGUCAGAGGUGAAAUUCUUGGAUUUAUUGAAGACUAACUACUGCGAAAGCAUUUGCCAAGGAUGUUUUCAUUAAUCAAGAACGAAAGUUAGGGGGAUCGAAGACGAUCAGAUACCGUCGUAGUCUUAACCAUAAACUAUGCCGACUAGGGAUCGGAUGAUGUUAAUUUUUUAAUGACUCAUUCGGCGCCUU